UUUUUGCAUGAACCCCCUGAGGGGUUCAUGCUUAUAUAUUGGUGAGUUUUGAAUGUGUCUAUGGGCCACUCGAUAUCUCUCGGCCGGAAGUCACAAUAAAAAUCUCGGAACGUCUCUAAAAUUUUCGGUCAUAUAUACAGGACUUAACAGGUUGUUAUCUACGUCUAUGAUAUGGUCCCUUGAUGGCCCUUGACGACGCAAUUAUAUUUGUUUUAAAACAACCACUGUGUACUGUGUGUAUCUG
Molecule: long non-coding RNA, 244 nt
Filed under: Mytilus galloprovincialis (Mediterranean mussel)
Lineage: Eukaryota; Metazoa; Mollusca; Bivalvia; Mytilida; Mytilidae
Source: RNAcentral